Molecule: ribosomal RNA, 253 nt
Filed under: uncultured bacterium
Lineage: Bacteria
Description: partial 16S ribosomal RNA
Rfam family: Bacterial small subunit ribosomal RNA
Source: RNAcentral
UACGUAGGGACCAAGCGUUGUCCGGAAUUACUGGGCGUAAAGAGCUCGUAGGUGGUUUGUCGCGUUGUUCGUGAAAUCCCACGGCUUAACUGUGGGCGUGCGGGCGAUACGGGCAGACUGGAGUACUGCAGGGGAGACUGGAAUUCCUGGUGUAGCGGUGGAAUGCGCAGAUAUCAGGAGGAACACCGGUGGCGAAGGCGGGUCUCUGGGCAGUAACUGACGCUGAGGAGCGAAAGCGUGGGGAGCGAACAGG